CAGCCGCCACGGUAAUACGAAGGGGGCUAGCGUUGUUCGGAUUUACUGGGCGUAAAGGGCGCGUAGGCGGACUGAUAAGUCAGGGGUGAAAUCCCAAGGCUCAACCUUGGAACUGCCUUUGAUACUGUUUGUCUUGAGUUCGAGAGAGGUAAGUGGAACUGCGAGUGUAGAGGUGAAAUUCGUAGAUAUUCGCAAGAACACCAGUGGCGAAGGCGGAUCACUGGCUCGAAACUGACGCUGAGGCGCGAAAGCGUGGGGAGCAAACAGGAUUAGAUACCCCCGUAGUCCCUGUCUCUUAUAC
RNAcentral lists this ribosomal RNA (301 nucleotides) under uncultured bacterium. RNAcentral describes it as "partial 16S ribosomal RNA". It matches the Rfam family "Bacterial small subunit ribosomal RNA", at positions 509 to 807 of the family's 1533-position model. The record is from RNAcentral.